CCUGGUGUUUAUGUAGCCAGGAAAAAAAAAUAUGCGUCUCAUUCACACGAUUAAAAAGCUUAUUUAGUUAAAUCCAAGUUUAUGCCAUAUUACUGGAGUGAAAAAAAGUUUUGAUGAAGGCACUUUUUUGUUUUGUCUUAGUGGUUUUAUACUAUUUAGAAAAAAAAAAACACAGACAAAUGGCAAUCCAUUAAUUCUCCUGAGUUAUGUUUCCCAUGGAACUGACAGCUUUGAGCGUCACAGUUGUAAGGUAAAUGUUAGUAAUAUAGUUUGCUCUUAAGACACUGAAAUCGUUACUGAUAAUCACUUUCUACUUUGUGCUAUACAUUGCAAAGGUUGUACUUGAUGUGAUGAAGUGUUUUUCCAUUUUAUAUUGUGCACAGUAGACAGCUAUAUACUUCCACCAACUAAAGCAUUUGUCAUGUGAGACGAUUUCUUUCUUUUUUUUAUUCUUUUCAAAUAAUUUUUAUUAACGUUUUAAAAUUUUGUAUAGCAAGUGAUAAUAAUACUAACAUUGUUUUACUUUUUUUUAUUCUUUCAGCUUGGUGACUGCUACAGAAACCUUAUAAAGACUGGGAUAGUCAGUUAACCUCUUCGGGAUAAAGGCAAAUCUUAUGAAAUGAAGACUAUGCUGUCAUGACUUAUUUCAUGAAGGUGUUACUCUGGUAAAAUACGUUUUAAAUUCUCAGUCUAUUAAUUAUGUUAGCUAGUAUUUGACCAACAACAUAUUUUUCUUUAUCAAUAAUCCAG
RNAcentral lists this long non-coding RNA (750 nucleotides) under Pelobates cultripes (western spadefoot toad). Lineage: Eukaryota; Metazoa; Chordata; Amphibia; Anura; Pelobatidae. The record is from RNAcentral.